AGGGGGCUCGGGAGAUAAAAAGACCGACGCUAACUCCGCCCACCUCAGUUACCGACUCUCACUCCGCCCGCCUCGCCCGGUCACAGUCGGUUGAAUCGCUCCGCUGCCGCCGGUGCUCGUACCCGCACACCGAGACGAGGCGAGGGGGUCCAUGUCCAACCACACCGAGGUCGGGACGAAAGCGUCUGGAUGUCUGGAGACAUGAGGCGGGACUUGUGCUCGUUUUAAGCCGGACCGACGACACCGCCGCGCACACCGUCCCGUUCUCACCCGACCCGGCUCGGCUCGGUUCGCUUCUUUUCUCUGCCCUUUGGGGGUUUUUUUGGGGUUCGCUGGUCAAACUUCGGCUCUCUCCGCAGCGGUUCGCUCGCUCACUCACUCGCUCACUCACUCGCUCACCUCUCAGCCGUUACUUUUCACACGGGUUGUCCCGGUUCGACUCUCGGCAGAAAGUGGGAGGCUUUUCCCCCUCUUCUUCUUCUUCUUCUUCUUCUUCUUCUUCUUCUUCCCUUUCCUUUCCUGGGGAGAAAGUAAAACAAAACAAAAAAGAAGAGAAGAAGAAGAAGAAAAGCCGUGGACAUCUGAGCUGAUCCCUGGAAUCAGAGGGAAGUGGUGGCAGCCCGCAGACAGGAUCCUUCACGGUCAGUGGGAUGUGAGAGCUCUGGAAGCGGGACCAGGACUGACUGAAGGAGCAUGGUGAAGCACCAACCCCUCCAGGUCUAUGAGCGCCAGCUGUGUUUGUCAUGUAUCACCGGGAUCUACGGUUGCCGCUGGAAACGCUACCAACGCUCCCACGAUGACACCACCAAGUGGGAGCUGCUGUGGUCCCUCAUCCUCCUCUUUACCUUCUGCCUGCUGCUGGUCUGGUUCUACUUCUGGUGGGAGGCACAUAAUGACUACAAUGAGUUCAACUGGUUCCUGUACAACCGCUCCGGGGAGUGGAGCGAUGGCACCGUUCCCAUCCUGGCAACCACCGCCGCCGGCUUCACCUAUAUUGCAUUUUUAAUGGUUUUAGCACUUUGUCACGUUGCACUUGGGCAACAGUUGAAUUUGCACUGGCUCCAUAAGAUUGGAGUGACUGCUGCUCUGCUCACCACCGUCGCCGGGGUGAUAUCUGUCAAUCAAACAUGGGGACAGGAGUGGGACGUCAUCCCCAUCUCCCUGCAGGCCACAGGUCCCUUCCUGCACAUCGGGGCCGUCGCCGCCGUCACAGCGCUGUCCUGGAUCGUGGCCGGCCAGGUCGCCCGCGCAGAAAAAACAAUGUUCCAGGUGGUCGUCAUGCUGCUGUACCUCAGCGUGUUACUGGGCCUCUACGUGCUGCCCCUCUACAUCACCUCCCCCUGCAUCAUGGAGCCCACCAGCCUCGGACCCCGUCCCGACGUCAUCGGCCGCCAGGGAGCCCCCAUGCUCGCUCCAGAGAACACACUGUGGUCCUUCCAGCGAGCUCUACAGAUGAACGUCACUGGGUUGGAAGCUGACGUGGCUAUCAGUGAGGACGGCGUUCCGUUCCUGAUGCACGACCGGAUGCUGCGCAGGACCACAGACGUGGGGAAGGUUUUCCCCGACAGGCAGACGGAGGAGGCGUCGUUCUUCAACUGGACAGAUCUGCAGCAGCUCAACGCCGGACAGUGGUUCCUCAAGGACGACCCCUUCUGGACGGUGCGCAGCCUGUCGCCGCACGAGAAGACGCUGAUCGCCAACCAGAGCGUGUGCAGCCUGGAGCAGCUCCUGAAGUUGGCCUCCUACCACAACAGCACGGUGGUGUUCAGGCUCCGGAGGCCCCCCGCCGACCACCCCUGUUACUACAGCUGGAUCAACGACACACUGCAGGCCGUGCAGCGCUCCGGGGUUCCUCAGGGCCUGGUGAUGUGGACUCCAGACGAGCACCGGGCUCAGGUGAGGCAGCUGCUACCGGGUCUGAUCCAGACGUCAGUGGAGAAACUGACUCCGCAGAGUCUCCACCGCUCGGGCAUCAGCAGACUGCUGCUCCGAUACAACCAGGCCAACGCUCAGGACAUCAGCGACUUCUCCGAGAGCCACGUCAACCUCACGCUCUACACCGUCAACCAGCCCUGGUUGUUCUCGGUGCUCUGGUGCAGCGGCGUGUCGUCCGUCUCCUCGGAGGCGCCACACGUCCUCAAGAAGGUGCCUUACCCCGUCUGGCUCAUGAGACCAAAUGAAUACUGCCUGAUGUGGGUGUCUGCAGACCUCAUCUCCUUUGCUGUCGUCGUGGGAAUAUUCGUUCUCCAGAACUAUCACAUGAUCAGGUAUCGGAUGAGCGGCAUGCGCAGCUACAACCCGGAGCAGAUCAUGUUGAGCGCCGCCGUCAGGAGGUCGAGUCGAGACAUGAGCGUCAUGAAGGAGAAACUCAUCUUCUCAGGUCAGCCCCAGUAAAACGCUGCCUGCCUCCUCCUCCAUCCUCCGUGUGUGUGAUGUGCACCACCACCUCCUCUCCAUCUCCUCCGCCCACCGAGUGACUCCUUCCUUUUCAUUCCGUGCGUCCGUUGCAUCCCUCGUUACCUACCACCUCUAUGCCUGCUUUCCCCAAACCCUCCUUCAUCCAUUCAUCCGUCUCCUCCCAUCGCUCCUCCCGGUGGAGACGACGCUCUGUGUAGCGGAGAGUUUAUAGACUCCGCUCUGUCUAGACAGCCUCUUGUGCUGCGGGGGUCAAAGAGGUGGGGAACGGAGUCAGCGGCGACGAGCUGUACGCAGACAACGGCUACGACUACUACACCAACCAGGGCGUCGUCAGCCAGUGAGUCCGCCGCGGGGAAGACGGAGACGACGGCGACACUCGAGUGUUCAAAUCCUCACUGUUUUUAUACAACUCCUCCUCCGACGGAGGAAACAAACCCAACGAGUCGCUUCGUGUACAUUGUGUAAAUAUGUUUUUUGUUUGUUUUUUUGGCUUUUGUCAGAUUUACUGUAAUGUCACACGGGACGAAAAACACAACUCUGUUGACGGAAUUCGUUAAAUCUCCUCGAGGUCACUGCUUCUUCUCAAACACGAGUUUCCAGAAACUUCGUUACUUUUCCUUUUUAUCCUUUUAUUGCAGCAUGCGACAAAUGAAAAAUGAAAAAAAAAGAAAAGCUCCUGCCUUCUCUCAGCACUCCGCUCGUGCUGCUGCUGCUGCUGCUGCUGUUCAUAAUAGUGCUGUAACAUUAAUAUUUAUAUUUAAAAAGAGAGAGAGAGUUUACAGAAGAGUCCUCCUGCCUUUCUCCUCCAGGUGAAAUAUUCACACACAUAUGUAAGAUAAUUUUAAAUAAGAGGCCUGAUGAAUGAAACCGCCGCCCCCUCGUCUGAUCGGUGCAUGUUACAGUAAUGAGCGUAACGUGAGUGUGUGUGAGAGUGUGUGUGUGUGUGUGUGAGCUGUGCUCCCGGUGGUGAAAACAGUUUGGGCUGGAGAUUAGUUCUGUCCUUUAAUGGUGAAUGUGAAUAUUAUUUUUUUUUUAAAGAUGUGUAUGGUGUGUUGUGUGCAUCCCGACUGGAUAUGUAUUUUUUUUAUUUUUUUUUACCCCGUGUGCGGUGCGGUGUCGAUUUGUACAUAAAAUGUGAAGCGACGUGAGAAGAAGCUGUUUGAACAAAGUGGAUGAAAUUAAUAAAAUUCCGAACAGUCCGGUCGAUGGAAGUGAUUUGGCUUCCCGCAUGUUGAGUCUGUGCCGACGAACAAAAAGAAAAAAAGACAUCGGGCUGCUCUUUGAGUUCCUGGUGUGAAAAGCUGUAAAUGUAAAGAUGAAGUGGCUACUAAAUGUGAAAGUGAAGCUCCAGGCGACACUGAAGGGAAACUACUGCAGGAAUCAACAGGGUCAAAGACGUCGGUUCUGCCUUUUCUCUUUUUCUUUUACUUUAACUGUGCCUCAGAAAUAAAGAUGGAAAAAACAAAUCUUCAAA
Scophthalmus maximus (turbot) is the source of this 3892-nucleotide RNA transcript. It is a transcript of the gene named glycerophosphodiester phosphodiesterase domain containing 5b, with no coding region annotated. The record is from RefSeq and is a predicted model, not a curated record. Lineage: Eukaryota; Metazoa; Chordata; Actinopteri; Pleuronectiformes; Scophthalmidae. The transcript has 18 exons.